CUUGAGGUCUAUCCCAAUGUGGCUUUUUCUUUAGAUCCAUGUUGUUGGAAAUGCCUCACAGAGUAACUAUGUCAUUUGGCUUUACUCACAGAACUAUCUGUUAGAUCUGUGGGAAGAAACUACAAAACAGAU
This 132-nucleotide small nucleolar RNA is filed under the name Dasypus novemcinctus (nine-banded armadillo). Lineage: Eukaryota; Metazoa; Chordata; Mammalia; Cingulata; Dasypodidae. The record is from RNAcentral.